Molecule: ribosomal RNA, 223 nt
Filed under: Clostridioides difficile
Lineage: Bacteria; Bacillati; Bacillota; Clostridia; Peptostreptococcales; Peptostreptococcaceae
Description: partial 16S ribosomal RNA
Rfam family: Bacterial small subunit ribosomal RNA
Source: RNAcentral
AAUAUCAAAGGUGAGCCAGUACAGGAGGGACCCGCGUCUGAAUAGCUCGUUGGUAAGGUAACGGCUUACCAAGGCGACGAUCAGUAGCCGACCAGCGAGGGUGCUCGGCCACAUUGGAACUGAGAUACGGUCCACACUCCUACGGGAGGCAGCAGUGGGGAAUAUUGCACAAUGGGCGAAAGCCUGAUGCAGCAACGCCGCGUGAGUGAUGAAGGCCUUCGGG